GAAGGGACCGGUCUUGAAAACCGGCAGAAGGUUCACGCCUUGCGAGGGUUCGAAUCCCUCCUGCUCCGCCA
This 71-nucleotide transfer RNA is filed under the name Bacillota bacterium. RNAcentral's name for it is "tRNA-OTHER". It matches the Rfam family "tRNA", at positions 18 to 71 of the family's 71-position model. From Rfam's summary of the family: Transfer RNA (tRNA) molecules are approximately 80 nucleotides in length. Their secondary structure includes four short double-helical elements and three loops (D, anti-codon, and T loops). The record is from RNAcentral. Lineage: Bacteria; Bacillati; Bacillota.